Molecule: long non-coding RNA, 515 nt
Organism: Oreochromis niloticus (Nile tilapia)
Lineage: Eukaryota; Metazoa; Chordata; Actinopteri; Cichliformes; Cichlidae
Exons: 3
Source: RefSeq, a predicted model, not a curated record
GCCGAGAUGAUUGCACAAACUUUUGGGUGACAGUUGUGAUCAGCAGCUGGUUCUCAUGUGGAUUACCUUUAACUGCUGGUGCUGCUUUGUUGUUGGACGAUUUAAAAAUGUGCAUCAAAUAUUUUGCAUUUGCUCUUCUUUGGUUUCCUGGAGUGCUGCACGCACAGAGCACCACACAGGCCUGUGAUGCUCCCACACUGGACGGUGGCUUCUUUGCCCCAAAGCAAGAGACUUACUCUCACGGCACCAAGCUGAGCUACACCUGCAACGAAGGACGUCAGCUAGCAAUGAAGGGUUGGUGGGCAACCAGCACAUGUCACAAUGGAAGAUGGUCUCAUCAGCCACAGUGUAUAGAAAGCAUGAAUGCGUGCAGCGUGCCUCCUAAAAUCCCCCAUGCAGUCAUCGUUCAUCAGGACUACCAGGAAGUGUUUGCUGCAGGUUCAGAAGUGCAGUAUGAGUGUGAAGAUGGAUACACUGCAGAGGGAGCACACAACAAAAAAUCUGUUUGUACACAA